GCUGGUUAAGGCUCCGCCCACUGACUGACCUGAGAGCACAAGAUGGUGGAUUGGCGCCGAUCGGAGUGAGGAAAGUGAAAAAUUUGCCAUUGUGUGGAUAAGCGGCUUAGAAGAUGGAUGGAUGGAAUUCAGUAGAGGGCGCUGGGAGUGAAUUUGCACAUUCUUACCGACGGCCUUGCCGGUCUGGACCACGCUCCUGCUGGUGGUCAUCAUGGCGUUGCCGAUCUUUUUGCCUCGCUCGCUGUUGUGCACCGAGCUGCAGGAAGGAAGUGGGCGGGACUCACUGUGACAGGCGCAGUUUGACGUCGGCGACGCUGUACUGGCCCUGGCAAGGAUGUCUGCGGCACACACGGAGAAGAAGAACACGUGCUAAGGUUAGCCUUAGCACAUUCAUUCAUUAUUUCAACCUUAUUCCCGUAAUCGACGGCACUCCCGAAAGACUUAGAAUUGCCUACAGGUGCCACGAGGUGGCAGCAAAGUACUAUUUUUCUAUUAGAUGAAACUCCUCACUUCAACAUCGGGGAGGUUGGAAUUUAAGGCCACGCGGGCCAGCCCCGGUAGGUCGGCGACAACGGCGG
Long non-coding RNA from Syngnathoides biaculeatus (alligator pipefish), 578 nucleotides. RefSeq lists it as uncharacterized. The record is from RefSeq and is a predicted model, not a curated record. NCBI's taxonomy places the organism in Eukaryota, Metazoa, Chordata, Actinopteri, Syngnathiformes, Syngnathidae. The transcript is spliced from 3 exons.